Molecule: ribosomal RNA, 497 nt
Filed under: uncultured bacterium
Lineage: Bacteria
Description: partial 16S ribosomal RNA
Rfam family: Bacterial small subunit ribosomal RNA
Source: RNAcentral
GAUGAACGCUGGCGGCGUGCCUAAUACAUGCAAGUCGAGCGAACAGACGAGGAGCUUGCUCCUCUGACGUUAGCGGCGGACGGGUGAGUAACACGUGGAUAACCUACCUAUAAGACUGGGAUAACUUCGGGAAACCGGAGCUAAUACCGGAUAAAAUAUUGAACCGCAUGGUUCAAUAGUGAAAGACGGUUUUGCUGUCACUUAUAGAUGGAUCCGCGCCGCAUUAGCUAGUUGGUAAGGUAACGGCUUACCAAGGCGACGAUGCGUAGCCGACCUGAGAGGGUGAUCGGCCACACUGGAACUGAGACACGGUCCAGACUCCUACGGGAGGCAGCAGUAGGGAAUCUUCCGCAAUGGGCGAAAGCCUGACGGAGCAACGCCGCGUGAGUGAUGAAGGUCUUCGGAUCGUAAAACUCUGUUAUUAGGGAAGAACAAAUGUGUAAGUAACUAUGCACGUCUUGACGGUACCUAAUCAGAAAGCCACGGCUAACUACGUG